RNAcentral lists this ribosomal RNA (253 nucleotides) under uncultured bacterium. RNAcentral's name for it is "partial 16S ribosomal RNA". It matches the Rfam family "Bacterial small subunit ribosomal RNA", at positions 524 to 776 of the family's 1533-position model. The record is from RNAcentral.
UACGAAGGGUGCAAGCGUUACUCGGAAUUACUGGGCGUAAAGGGAGCGUAGGUGGUUGUUUAAGUCUGUUGUGAAAGCCCCGGGCUCAACCUGGGAAUGGCAAUGGAUACUGGACAGCUAGAGUGCGGUAGAGGGUAGUGGAAUUCCCGGUGUAGCAGUGAAAUGCGUAGAGAUCGGGAGGAACACCAGUGGCGAAGGCGAGUCCCUGGAAAACUCCUGACACUGAGGCACGAAAGCUAGGGGAGCAAACAGG